This 253-nucleotide ribosomal RNA is filed under the name uncultured bacterium. RNAcentral describes it as "partial 16S ribosomal RNA". It matches the Rfam family "Bacterial small subunit ribosomal RNA", at positions 524 to 776 of the family's 1533-position model. The record is from RNAcentral.
UGCGAAGGGUGCAAGCGUUACUCGGAAUUACUGGGCGUAAAGCGUGCGUAGGUGGUUCGUUAAGUCUGAUGUGAAAGCCCUGGGCUCAACCUGGGAAUGGCAUUGGAAACUGGCGACCUAGAGUGCGGUAGAGGGUAGUGGAAUUCCCGGUGUAGCAGUGAAAUGCGUAGAUAUCUGGAGGAACACCGGUGGCGAAGGCGGCAUCCUGGACCAAUACUGACGCUGAGGAGCGAAAGCUAGGGGAGCAAACGGG